UUAUCCUCCCUCAAACCCCGGGUUUGGUGUUGGACCCGAGUUGUGCAUCUGAACAACUGGUCUCAAAGACAAUGACGGCGUCCGUGGGACCCUCGGUGCAACGAGCUUUUAGGAGCACGCGUCGAGUUUCAAGGUCCUCCCGGGCCGGUCUCCUUCUUUUACUUUUUAAGGUUGACCUCGGAUCAGGUAGGAAUACCCGCUGAACUUAAGCAUAUCAAUA
Molecule: ribosomal RNA, 220 nt
Filed under: Knufia petricola
Lineage: Eukaryota; Fungi; Ascomycota; Eurotiomycetes; Chaetothyriales; Trichomeriaceae
Description: partial 28S ribosomal RNA
Source: RNAcentral